GAUGAACGCUGGCGGCGUGCCUAAUACAUGCAAGUCGAGCGAACAGACGAGGAGCUUGCUCCUCUGACGUUAGCGGCGGACGGGUGAGUAACACGUGGAUAACCUACCUAUAAGACUGGGAUAACUUCGGGAAACCGGAGCUAAUGCCGGAUAAUAUAUUGAACCGCAUGGUUCAAUAGUGAAAGACGGUUUUGCUGUCACUUAUAGAUGGAUCCGCGCCGCAUUAGCUAGUUGGUAAGGUAACGGCUUACCAAGGCAACGAUGCGUAGCCGACAUGAGAGGCUGAUCGGGCACACUAGAACGGAGGCGCGGUCCAGACUCCUACGGGAGGCAGCAGUAGGGACUCUUCCGCAAUGGGCGAAAGCUUGACGGAGCAACGCCGCGUGAGUGAUGAAGGUCUUCGGAUCGUAAAACUCUGUUAUUAGGGAAGAACAAAUGUGUAAGUGACUAUGCACGUCUUGACGGUACCUAAUCAGAAAGCCACGGCUAACUACGUG
RNAcentral lists this ribosomal RNA (497 nucleotides) under uncultured bacterium. RNAcentral's name for it is "partial 16S ribosomal RNA". It matches the Rfam family "Bacterial small subunit ribosomal RNA", at positions 28 to 507 of the family's 1533-position model. The record is from RNAcentral.